RNAcentral lists this ribosomal RNA (493 nucleotides) under uncultured bacterium. RNAcentral's name for it is "partial 16S ribosomal RNA". It matches the Rfam family "Bacterial small subunit ribosomal RNA", at positions 30 to 523 of the family's 1533-position model. The record is from RNAcentral.
AUUGAACGCUGGCGGCAUGCUUUACACAUGCAAGUCGAACGGUAACAGGUUAAGCUGACGAGUGGCGAACGGGUGAGUAAUGCACCGGAACGUGCCCGAUCGUGGGGGAUAACGCAGCGAAAGCUGCGCUAAUACCGCAUACGAUCUGAGGAUGAAAGCGGGGGACCGUAAGGCCUCGCGCGAUCGGAGCGGCCGAUGUCAGAUUAGGUAGUUGGUGGGGUAAAGGCCCACCAAGCCGACGAUCUGUAGCUGGUCUGAGAGGACGACCAGCCACACUGGGACUGAGACACGGCCCAGACUCCUACGGGAGGCAGCAGUGGGGAAUUUUGGACAAUGGGCGAAAGCCUGAUCCAGCAAUGCCGCGUGCAGGAAGAAGGCCUUCGGGUUGUAAACUGCUUUUGUACGGAGCGAAAAGGUCCUUUCUAAUACAAGGGGCUCAUGACGGUACCGUAAGAAUAAGCACCGGCUAACUACGUGCCAGCCGCCGCUGUAA